Nematostella vectensis (starlet sea anemone) is the source of this 496-nucleotide long non-coding RNA. RefSeq lists it as uncharacterized. The record is from RefSeq and is a predicted model, not a curated record. The transcript has 2 exons. NCBI's taxonomy places the organism in Eukaryota, Metazoa, Cnidaria, Anthozoa, Actiniaria, Edwardsiidae.
GGUUUAUUUUCGUAACAGUCUCAAUCGCGCGGUAAAUGAAUACAUCUUGCCGUGAUCCCUUUGUAAAACCAAGCAUUGUGGAAGCUAAUAGGCAAAGACAACUUGCAUAAAGUACUUACCGGAGUCCCAAAGAGCAUACCGCUGACCACAUGUUCCAAGAGUUGCGUGACUGAGUGAAGAAUAUCCCAAACCUGCAUUUUGCUGAAGCUUUUAUAGCAUGAAUGGUUGCAAAAUUGCUGUAGUACAAGGGAGACAUCAAUAGCAGAUAUUGCUUGGCAUUCGGUUCGCCUCUCUUGCUGUUUGCUGAAUAAUUGAGCAUGGAUAGCUUGCAAGAUUGCUGCAGCGGGGGGGAGACUGCAAUAGCUGAUAUUGCGGGGAAGUUUUCUGAGAUAUGCAUGGAUUAUUGGAUUGUUGUUGUCAUUGGGAUUAUCACAUUGCUAUAUAUGUGCAGUUGCUAGAUAUAUUUACAAGAUUAUAAUAAUAAUAAUAAUAAUAA